AAGUACCUUUUGUGAUCUCUGAUCCCCAAACUGCUCAUUGCUCUUAAGCGCCUCAUUCAUGCAGACCAGCAUAAACUCCUAGUACAGCCAAUCCUGCAAGUAGUGUUUCCAAUCUUGAGUGCAGCGCCCCCUCCUGGAGAAGAGGAAGACGACACUGAGGGCGACAGAGAGAAUCCCGAGCACUUUGCUGUUCAGGUCAGUCCCUUUGCAUGCUUCAUUUCUUUUACUCAUUCUUUCUGUACCCAUCUCACCCUCUCUCAAGCUGAUAUGCGUUCCCCUAUAGGUCAAUGACACCAUGGCUCUUUACAUGCCACAUGAAAAACUCUUCAACCAGCUGGUUAGCAUACAAAAACACUCAUUGUAAACCAUGGCCAUAGUAGCAAUAGUAGACUUAAACAUUUCAGUGGCCCAGUGACUCUAUUAAAAUAUCUAUAUUUAUGUCAUGCAGUUGCCUCUCACUCAUAUGAGCGUAAAGGAGGUCUCGUGUAUGUCUGUGCUCGCCGAAGGAUGUGAUCCACAUCUGCACCACGUAAGCUUUACUCUACGAUUAGGCAUAGAUUUCUACCCGUAUUUAUAGAACAUCAUUUCCAAACAUAUGAAAAAAGUUCUGCUCAGUGCUUUAACUUUGUGUUUUGGUGUUAGGGUGUUGUCAUCCAUGCUUCAAACCCAGUGUCCAGGUGGUCCGUGCAGGGCUCUACGGCCUCGGACAGUUAUCGAACACCUUCAAGUCCGACUGAGAUCCAGACGUCAGUAAAUUCCAUGCUGAGCUGAUGCAGUUGUUUUCUUCAGUGAAUCAGACCAAAAUCGGCCACAUGACGCAGGCCUCCUAUGCAUUGGAGAACUUAGAGAACUUCGGUUAGAGUGCAGCCAGUGUUAAUGUUACCUUUUUUACCUUUUUAUGAUAAACCUAAUCAAUAUAAUUGGCUAUAUUUAUUUAUUUUAUUUUACAUUUAUUUAUAAUAAUAAUUAUAAUCAACUGUACUAAAAAAAAUAAAAAAAAUAAUAAAUAAUAAAAAAACACACACACAUAUAUAUAUAUAUAUAUAUAUAUAUAUAUAUAUAUAUAUAUAUAUAUAUAUAUAUAUAUAUAUAUAUAUAUACUUUAUAUAGGC
This 1112-nucleotide long non-coding RNA is filed under the name Carassius auratus (goldfish). RNAcentral's name for it is "lncRNA (ENSCARG00000050078.1)". Lineage: Eukaryota; Metazoa; Chordata; Actinopteri; Cypriniformes; Cyprinidae. The record is from RNAcentral.